Molecule: transfer RNA, 72 nt
Filed under: Ictidomys tridecemlineatus (thirteen-lined ground squirrel)
Lineage: Eukaryota; Metazoa; Chordata; Mammalia; Rodentia; Sciuridae
Description: Spermophilus tridecemlineatus (thirteen-lined ground squirrel) tRNA
Rfam family: tRNA
About the family: Transfer RNA (tRNA) molecules are approximately 80 nucleotides in length. Their secondary structure includes four short double-helical elements and three loops (D, anti-codon, and T loops).
Source: Rfam by way of RNAcentral
UGGGGUGUGGCUCAGCGGUAGGGCACCUGCCUAGCGUGUGCGAGGCCCUGGGUUCCAUCCCCAGCCCCACAA